GUCCACGCCGUAAACGAUGGAUGCUAGCAGUUUGCAGUAUCGACCCUGCAUGUUGCGAAGCUAACGCGUUAAGCAUCCCGCCUGUGGAGUACGGCCGCAAGGCUAAAACAUAAAGGAAUUGACGGGGACCCGCACAAGCGGUGGAGCGUGUUGUUUAAUUCGACGGUAAGCGAAGAACCUUACCAGGGUUUGACAUCCUGCCAAUCUUUCUGAAAGGAAAGAGUACCUUCGGGCCGCAGAGACAGGUGAUGCAUGGCCGUCGU
Molecule: ribosomal RNA, 263 nt
Filed under: uncultured bacterium
Lineage: Bacteria
Description: partial 16S ribosomal RNA
Rfam family: Bacterial small subunit ribosomal RNA
Source: RNAcentral